RNAcentral lists this ribosomal RNA (719 nucleotides) under uncultured Bacteroidales bacterium. RNAcentral describes it as "bacterial SSU rRNA". It matches the Rfam family "Bacterial small subunit ribosomal RNA", at positions 46 to 755 of the family's 1533-position model. Lineage: Bacteria; Pseudomonadati; Bacteroidota; Bacteroidia; Bacteroidales. The record is from RNAcentral.
GCUUAACACAUGCAAGUCGAGGGGCAGCAUGGUCUUAGCUUGCUAAGGCCGAUGGCGACCGGCGCACGGGUGAGUAACACGUAUCCAACCUGCCGUCUACUCUUGGACAGCCUUCUGAAAGGAAGAUUAAUACAAGAUGGCAUCAUGAGUUCACAUGUUCACAUGAUUAAAGGUAUUCCGGUAGACGAUGGGGAUGCGUUCCAUUAGAUAGUAGGCGGGGUAACGGCCCACCUAGUCUUCGAUGGAUAGGGGUUCUGAGAGGAAGGUCCCCCACAUUGGAACUGAGACACGGUCCAAACUCCUACGGGAGGCAGCAGUGAGGAAUAUUGGUCAAUGGGCGAGAGCCUGAACCAGCCAAGUAGCGUGAAGGAUGACUGCCCUAUGGGUUGUAAACUUCUUUUAUAAAGGAAUAAAGUCGGGUAUGGAUACCCGUUUGCAUGUACUUUAUGAAUAAGGAUCGGCUAACUCCGUGCCAGCAGCCGCGGUAAUACGGAGGAUCCGAGCGUUAUCCGGAUUUAUUGGGUUUAAAGGGAGCGUAGAUGGAUGUUUAAGUCAGUUGUGAAAGUUUGCGGCUCAACCGUAAAAUUGCAGUUGAUACUGGAUAUCUUGAGUGCAGUUGAGGCAGGCGGAAUUCGUGGUGUAGCGGUGAAAUGCUUAGAUAUCACGAAGACUCCGAUUGCGAAGGCAGCCUGCUAAGCUGCAACUGACAUUGAGGCUCG